AUGCAGUCGAACGGAGCACCCUUGACUGAGGUUUCGGCCAAAUGAUAGGAAUGCUUAGUGGCGGCCUGGUGAGUAACGCGUGAGGAACCUGCCUUUCAGAGGGGGACAACAGUUGGAAACGACUGCUAAUACCGCAUGAUGCGUAACUGGGACAUCCCGGAUACGCCAAAGAUUUUAUCGCUGAAAGAUGGCCUCGCGUCUGAUUAGAUAGUUGGCGGGGUAACGGCCCACCAAGUCGACGAUCAGUAGCCGGACUGAGAGGUUGACCGGCCACAUUGGGACUGAGAUACGGCCCAGACUCCUACGGGAGGCAGCAGUGGGGAAUAUUGGGCUAUGGGCGCAAGCCUGACCCAGCAACGCCGCGUGAAGGAAGAAGGCUUUCGGGUUGUAAACUUCUUUUAAGUGGGAAGAGUAGAAGACGGUACCACUUGAAUAAGCCACGGCUAACUACGUGCCAGCAGCCGCGGUAAUACGUAGGUGGCAAGCGUUGUCCGGAUUUACUGGGUGUAAAGGGCGUGCAGCCGGGCAUGCAAGUCAGAUGUGAAAUCUCAGGGCUUAACCCUGAAACUGCAUUUGAAACUGUAUGUCUUGAGUGCCGGAGAGGUAAUCGGAAUUCCUUGUGUAGCGGUGAAAUGCGUAGAUCUAA
Molecule: ribosomal RNA, 646 nt
Filed under: uncultured bacterium
Lineage: Bacteria
Description: bacterial SSU rRNA
Rfam family: Bacterial small subunit ribosomal RNA
Source: RNAcentral